UACAGAGGUCUCAAGCGUUGUUCGGAUUCAUUGGGCGUAAAGGGUGCGUAGGCGGCGGGGUAAGUCAGGUGUGAAAUUUCGGAGCUUAACUCCGAAACUGCAUUUGAUACUGCCUUGCUUGAGGACUGGAGAGGAGACUGGAAUUCACGGUGUAGCAGUGAAAUGCGUAGAGAUCGUGAGGAAGACCAGUGGCGAAGGCGGGUCUCUGGACAGUUCCUGACACUGAUGCACGAAGGCCAGGGGAGCAAACGGG
Molecule: ribosomal RNA, 253 nt
Filed under: uncultured bacterium
Lineage: Bacteria
Description: partial 16S ribosomal RNA
Rfam family: Bacterial small subunit ribosomal RNA
Source: RNAcentral